UAGGGAAUAUUGCACAAUGGAGGAAACUCUGAUGCAGCGACGCCGCGUGAGUGAUGAAGGCCUUCGGGUUGUAAAACUCUGUGAUAGGGGAAGAUAAUGACGGUACCCUAUCAGAAAGGACCGGCUAACUUCGUGCCAGCAGCCGCGGUAAUACGAGGGGUCCAAGCGUUGUUCGGAAUCACUGGGCGUAAAGCGGGUGCAGGUGGCUCUGCAAGUCUGAUGUGAAAGCCCUGGGCUCAACCCAGGAAGUGCAUCUGAUACUACAGAGCUUGAGUACGGGAGAGGGAAAUAGAAUUCCUGGUGUAGUGGUGAAAUACGUAGAUAUCAGGAGGAACACCGGUGGUGAAGACGGUUUCCUGGCCCAGUACUGACACUCAGACCCGAAAGCGUGGGUAGCAAA
Molecule: ribosomal RNA, 400 nt
Filed under: uncultured bacterium
Lineage: Bacteria
Description: bacterial SSU rRNA
Rfam family: Bacterial small subunit ribosomal RNA
Source: RNAcentral